UGGGGAAUCUUGGACAAUGGGCGCAAGCCUGAUCCAGCCAUGCCGCGUGAGUGAUGAAGGCCCUAGGGUUGUAAAACUCUUUCGUGGGGGACGAUAAUGACGGUACCCCAAGAAGAAGCUCCGGCUAACUUCGUGCCAGCAGCCGCGGUAAUACGAAGGGGGCUAGCGUUGUUCGGAUUUACUGGGCGUAAAGCGCGUGUAGGCGGGCUGGAAAGUUGGGGGUGAAAUCCCGAGGCUCAACCUCGGAACUGCCUCCAAAACUUCCAGCCUGGACUCAAGUAGAGGCAAGUGGAAUUGCGAGUGUAGAGGUGAAAUUCGUAGAUAUUCGCAGGAACACCAGUGGCGAAGGCGACUUGCUGGACUUGUAGUGACGCUGAGACGCGAAAGCGUGGGGAGCAAACAGGAUUAGAUACCCAAGUAGUCCCUGAGCGGGCUGGCAAGGCGCAU
RNAcentral lists this ribosomal RNA (447 nucleotides) under uncultured bacterium. RNAcentral describes it as "bacterial SSU rRNA". It matches the Rfam family "Bacterial small subunit ribosomal RNA", at positions 355 to 825 of the family's 1533-position model. The record is from RNAcentral.